AGUUCCCUUCGGGGACAUUGGUGACAGGUGGUGCAUGGUUGUCGUCAGCUCGUGUCGUGAGAUGUUGGGUUAAGUCCCGCAACGAGCGCAACCCUUGUCUUUAGUUGCCAUCAUUAAGUUGGGCACUCUAGAGAGACUGCCAGGGAUAACCUGGAGGAAGGUGGGGAUGACGUCAAAUCAUCAUGCCCCUUAUGCUUAGGGCUACACACGUGCUACAAUG
Molecule: ribosomal RNA, 220 nt
Filed under: Clostridioides difficile
Lineage: Bacteria; Bacillati; Bacillota; Clostridia; Peptostreptococcales; Peptostreptococcaceae
Description: partial 16S ribosomal RNA
Rfam family: Bacterial small subunit ribosomal RNA
Source: RNAcentral